UGGGGAAUAUUGGACAAUGGGCGCAAGCCUGAUCCAGCCAUGCCGCGUGAGUGACGAAGGUCUUCGGAUUGUAAAACUCUUUCGUCGGGGACGAUAAUGACGGUACCCGAAGAAGAAGCUCCGGCUAACUUCGUGCCAGCAGCCGCGGUAAUACGAAGGGAGCUAGCGUUGUUCGGAAUCACUGGGCGUAAAGCGCACGUAGGCGGAUAGUUAAGUCAGGGGUGAAAUCCUGGGGCUCAACCCCAGAACUGCCUUUGAUACUGGCUGUCUCGAGGUCGAGAGAGGUUGGUGGAAUUCCUAGUGUAGAGGUGAAAUUCGUAGAUAUUAGGAAGAACACCAGUGGCGAAGGCGGCCAACUGGCUCGAUACUGACGCUGAGGUGCGAAAGCGUGGGGAGCAAACAGGAUUAGAUACCCUCGUAGUCCCUGAGCGGGCUGGCAAGGCGCAU
RNAcentral lists this ribosomal RNA (447 nucleotides) under uncultured bacterium. RNAcentral describes it as "bacterial SSU rRNA". It matches the Rfam family "Bacterial small subunit ribosomal RNA", at positions 355 to 825 of the family's 1533-position model. The record is from RNAcentral.